This 253-nucleotide ribosomal RNA is filed under the name uncultured bacterium. RNAcentral's name for it is "partial 16S ribosomal RNA". It matches the Rfam family "Bacterial small subunit ribosomal RNA", at positions 524 to 776 of the family's 1533-position model. The record is from RNAcentral.
UACGUAGGGUGCAAGCGUUGUCCGGAAUUAUUGGGCGUAAAGAGCUCGUAGGCGGUUUGUCGCGUCUGCUGUGAAAACCCGAGGCUCAACCCCGGGCCUGCAGUGGGUACGGGCAGACUAGAGUGCGGUAGGGGAGACUGGAAUUCCUGGUGUAGCGGUGAAAUGCGCAGAUAUCAGGAGGAACACCGGUGGCGAAGGCGGGUCUCUGGGCCGUAACUGACGCUGAGGAGCGAAAGCAUGGGGAGCGAACAGG